ACGAUUUCCCGUCAGCAGGAAAGCAUGUGCCGUCUUAAAAAGAAAGAGGAAUUACAACGGCCCAAAGGGUCAAAGCCUUGAGCCUAUGCCUCCGCCAUGUGUGUGUCCCUCCCCGCGGCCGGGAGAGCGAGUCAGGGCAACGGCGGAAUUUACUGAAGUUUACUCGGAACCCGUCCCCGAGCCCUGGGCGGCCGAGCAAACAGCGCGCGACGUCCCCUCCCUCCUACUACCAGACUCAGAGGUUGUGGUGGAGAAUUCCCCUGCGUGUGGACUGAAAAACUCCCACAUGGAAUAUGAUGGCCUGGCCCAGCACUGUCAGGGCCGGGGACCAGAGACAGACCUGCGUUUGAAUCUUGGCUGGCUGCUCUGCCACUCCAUAGCAGGAUGGCCUCUCAGAGCUGAGGGGCAUUGGUGGCCUGGGAAGUCCCUGCAUGACUGGCCCCUCAGGGGCGCAGUCCCAGUCCGUGGGCUCAUGUUUGGAAAAGAUUCUUAGAAACAGGGAUUGCUUGGACAAAGGCCAUGUGAUUUAUUUGGAUCACUUCUGUCUGAGGUUUCCAGACAUUGCAGAGUUUGUAAAGGCUUCACUUAACUUAGGCAAUUAAAAACUUGAAGCAGAUUUUGACAUUCUGGUUAGUUAGAGUCUACCUACAUCACCCAGAAAGAAUGUUAUGUUAUAGGUUGCAUUUUAUCUCUCCCUUCUCCCCACCAGAGAGAAGGGCGGGGAAUUUGAGACCAUGUCACCCUUGUUUUAAAUCUCAGACCCAAGAGACAACCUGGCACUUCUCAUGUCUGAUGGCUGGCCCUUCCUGUGGGGCUUUUCACUGUUUACUUGACAGUCCUAGGGUGCACUGCUGUGACACCCUCCCGGCUUCUCCCAUUAAGGUUGCUCUGCUGCAGUCCCGGGGCCCCAUUCCAGAUGUCUGCACAGUGUGUGUGCCCUUGGGAAUUCCAUCCAGGUUGAACACAAUGUAAGGCUGCCCCCUGGAGGUGUGCAGUGCAGACACCUUUACCAAUUCAGUGUGGGCUGGACCAACUCCAGGCAUUAUUAUUAUUAGGACUGCCUGUUUGACACAGUGGGCAAGUGUUCAUAAUUCUCUUUAGUUAAUGAAGAAACUCACACUGCUUAUCAAUCUUUAGUGAAACUCCCAUGCUGGGCAUAUACAUGUCGAUGUGAAGGGAACUAUUCACAGAACGCUGUUGGCCAUGUGUGGAAACUUUUGAGUCUCCAUUUCUUCGCUUAGAAAAUGGGGACAAGAACACUUGCAUUCCAGAGUUUUACAGAAGCAAUGUCUGUAAAAUAACAGUAGGACAGAACAGGCAUUUACUAGAAACUAGCAACAGUUCGGCAUUUUGUUUUGUAAUACAUAUAGGUCCAUGUUGGCUAAUAGUAUCCCCCGUAUUCAGAGUUCAUAAAUUAAACAACUUCAAUUAUCUGAAAUGCAGCUGGGGAGCUGGAAGGAAGCUAAACGAGCCCAUAGGUAACCAAAGAACAGGUCCCCAGAUCAUUGCACCUCACUUAUGGGAAGACUUCUGAAGGAUCAUUGACAGCCAACUGGCCUUAAUAUUUGCUUAUGUCAUUUCCCAAGGUAGGACGGGUUAAAAACACCAGAAUGUAACAAGAAUUCCUUACAAGGAGGAAGCCAAACAACUAACUAAAGAAAGGUAGAAAGCUCCACAAACUAUAAGGUCAGAUACAAAAGCAAAGUAGCAUUUAUUACACAACUAAAGCUUCUUGGAUCCAGCCAUGGGUGGAGGAUGUGAUUGCACCAUAGGCUGGCAAGGAACCAAGGCAUUGGGACUCCAUCUGGGUUUGAAUCUUCACUGCCUUCCAUGGGGCUGACCAUCGGCAUUUUAUUUAACUUCUCUGAGUCUCAAUUUUCUCAUCUGUGAAACUGGAACAAUCUGCAAAGUUAGGUUGCCGUGACUAAUAUCUUAGAAAUAAUGUGACAAUACAAUGUCUUCCUCAGCAAAUAAGUUAAAGAUAUUAAGUUUAAGUUAUUGAAGAUAUUGGUCCCCUUCCCCCGAUGGACACACAUAGAGUAAGGACCCCAGGCCAUUCUGAAAAGAAGAUAAAUAAUGUUUAAUGGUGAGUUGUCAUUUAGCUAGCAGGGACAUGUUUGAUAUAUUUUAAAAGAUUUAACCAUGGAGGUGUCUAAUUUUAAAGAAAUGAGGAAUAUUUUAGGAAAGCAGGAUAAUUAUAUGAAAAAUUCGAUUAUAUGGUAAAGGUCUGAUGUUAGGUCACAGAAAUACAGUGUGUCUUUCUGUGCUGGAUAUUUAUUAAUGGAGUAGCAAGAACUCAGCUAUAUCUUAUAACAAUAAAACUGUUAUCUUAUUUAAUUCUCAUAAAUACCAUCAAAGAGGAUAUUGCAAAGGGCCCAUUUUAAAAGUGAGAAAACGGAGGUUGGGAGCAGUGAUAAGAAUUUGUCUGAGGUAGUGCAACCAGGACUGGGACUCAGUUCUGGCAGCCUUAGUAAUAUGUGCAGGAUGUGGCUGGGGUAAGCUGCUGAGCUCCUCCAGAGUGAGAGGGUGUGAUGGAGUCCCAGAGGGGAAUUUUUGCUUCCUUCCCAGAACUAUAUAGAGCAGGCUUUGCCCAUGGCAGGGGCAUCCCUGCCUGCUUUAUCCCCACCCAAACGAACACACACUCAGUGCUGGUUCCUUCUUGGAGGGGCCCUACUGCAGUCCCUGUCUGUGAGCUCUUACAGAUAGAGGCAGGCAGAUUCUAUUUGGGUCCUUUAAAAUUUCUAAUUAAAAGUUUGGCCCUGUAUCAAAGUGAUAGAUGUUCUUUGUGUUAAAAAAAAAAAAGUAACAGAGAGGUUAAAAAAAAAUCUCAAACUCUAACAAUUGCUCAUAAUAUCUAGCACAUUCAGGUAUAUUUAUUUCUAGUCUCUUACACGUUUGUGGACAUUUGCUUUAUACUACUGAGAUGUUACUGAUUAUGUGAUUUUAAGUGCUGAGUUUUCACUACCAAACAUUAUGCCAUGACCAUUUUCCCAUAUAAAAGUACAAAGCUCUUUAAUUUGUUUAAUUACUAAGUUGCUUCCUUUUCUUUGCUGUGAUAAACCAUAUGAACAUAAA
Molecule: long non-coding RNA, 3075 nt
Organism: Zalophus californianus (California sea lion)
Lineage: Eukaryota; Metazoa; Chordata; Mammalia; Carnivora; Otariidae
Exons: 2
Source: RefSeq, a predicted model, not a curated record